This is a non-coding RNA of Podarcis lilfordi (Lilford's wall lizard), 719 nucleotides long. The record is from the annotation of a GenBank genome assembly. Lineage: Eukaryota; Metazoa; Chordata; Lepidosauria; Squamata; Lacertidae.
GGCUGGCAUCUCUUACAACCUUUCUAUACUAGUUCAGUCUUGGGAAAUGUAAUUUUGUGAGGGUGGUGAAGACUAGGGCUUUUUUUCCAGCUGGAACUCACUGGAACUGAGUUCUGGCUCCUCUUAAGCGUUGCUAUAGGAACGGUGCUUGUAGCUGUGCUACAAAAAGUUCAACAACUUUGGCACUCCUAGGGUUGUCCAUCCCAAAAAGGUGAAAGUUCCUGCAACUAUUUUUCUAGGGAAAAAGCACUGGUGAAGACUUAUCUGUUAAGACCAUUAGGUCACACACACAUCAGAACCACAGUUCCCAAGAUUCCAUACAGAGAGAGAACCAUGUGAAGCCUAUAGGAUAAGGUGAGAACCUUGAGCCCACAGCCUGUGUGAUGUAAUCCACUGAGAGCAGUCAAGGACAACAUUCCUUGUUUUCCUAGAGUGGACAUGCAAGGGAAUGUUUGGUCCAGCCAGUCGAAACUUCCUGUUACACCUGGCUGAAGCAUCCUUCCUUGCAUGUGACUAGUGGGUGGGCAUGACCUUUCCAGACCUGGUAGAAGGACAAGGCAUGCUGCCACUCUCUCUCUCUCUCUUUUUGACCUCCUUCGUUUGACCAGCUUUUAGCUAGGACUGCUCAGAGGCAGUGGAAUUAUUCCCCCAUAUGGGGUAGAUCCACACGUACAUAUUUGGAACUAAGUCUGCCUUCAGGGAUCCAACUGUGAACUGAU